CACGUAAGGCGCAAGCGUUGUCCGGAAUUAUUGGGCGUAAAGAGCUCGUAGGCGGUCUGUUGCGUCCGCUGUGAAAACUCGGGGCUUAACCCCGAGCCUGCAGUGGAUACGGGCAGACUAGAGGUAGGUAGGGGAGAAUGGAAUUCCCGGUGUAGCGGUGAAAUGCGCAGAUAUCGGGAAGAACACCGGUGGCGAAGGCGGCGACCUGGUCCUUGACUGACGCUGAGGCGCGAAAGCGUGGGGAGCAAACAGG
Molecule: ribosomal RNA, 253 nt
Filed under: uncultured bacterium
Lineage: Bacteria
Description: partial 16S ribosomal RNA
Rfam family: Bacterial small subunit ribosomal RNA
Source: RNAcentral